RNAcentral lists this microRNA precursor (166 nucleotides) under Linum usitatissimum (flax). The record is from RNAcentral. Lineage: Eukaryota; Viridiplantae; Streptophyta; Magnoliopsida; Malpighiales; Linaceae.
GUGGGGUAAUGGAUUUCAUGGUGGGAUGGGGGAGUAGGUCUGAGCCAAGGAUGACUUGCCGCCGCUCAAACCACAAUUCCAUGCUUUGCGUCCAUUGGGCUGGGAAGUUGUCCUUGGCUCUAGCUUCCUCCCUUGCCCAUUUUCCAUGUAAGACUUUACUAUCCAC